Molecule: ribosomal RNA, 468 nt
Filed under: uncultured bacterium
Lineage: Bacteria
Description: partial 16S ribosomal RNA
Rfam family: Bacterial small subunit ribosomal RNA
Source: RNAcentral
GACGAACGCUGGCGGCGUGCUUAACACAUGCAAGUCGAACGGAAAGGCCCUGCUUUUGUGGGGUGCUCGAGUGGCGAACGGGUGAGUAACACGUGAGUAACCUGCCCUUGACUUUGGGAUAACUUCAGGAAACUGGGGCUAAUACCGGAUAGGAGCUCCUGCUGCAUGGUGGGGGUUGGAAAGUUUCGGCGGUUGGGGAUGGACUCGCGGCUUAUCAGCUUGUUGGUGGGGUAGUGGCUUACCAAGGCUUUGACGGGUAGCCGGCCUGAGAGGGUGACCGGCGGGGGUGGGAGGGAGGGACGGCGCAGAGGGGGAGGGGAGGCAGCAGUGGGGAAUAUUGCAGAAUGGGCGGAAGCCGGAUGCAGCAACGCCGCGUGCGGGAUGACGGCCGUCGGGUUGUAAACCGCUUUCGCCUGUGACGAAGCGUGAGUGACGGUAAUGGGUAAAGAAGCACCGGCUAACUACGUG